This 261-nucleotide ribosomal RNA is filed under the name uncultured bacterium. RNAcentral's name for it is "partial 16S ribosomal RNA". It matches the Rfam family "Bacterial small subunit ribosomal RNA", at positions 524 to 784 of the family's 1533-position model. The record is from RNAcentral.
UACGAAGGGGGCUAGCGUUGUUCGGAAUUACUGGGCGUAAAGCGCACGUAGGCGGAUAUUUAAGUCAGGGGUGAAAUCCCAGAGCUCAACUCUGGAACUGCCUUUGAUACUGGGUAUCUUGAGUCCGGAAGAGGUGAGUGGAAUUCCGCGUGUAGCAGUGAAAUUCGUAGAUAUUCGCAGGAACACCAGUGGCGAAGGCGACUUGCUGGAUCUUUGCUGACGCUGAGACGCGAAAGCGUGGGGAGCAAACAGGAUUAGAUA